This 245-nucleotide ribosomal RNA is filed under the name uncultured Desulfomicrobium sp. Its description in RNAcentral is "partial 16S ribosomal RNA". It matches the Rfam family "Bacterial small subunit ribosomal RNA", at positions 524 to 768 of the family's 1533-position model. Lineage: Bacteria; Pseudomonadati; Thermodesulfobacteriota; Desulfovibrionia; Desulfovibrionales; Desulfomicrobiaceae. The record is from RNAcentral.
UACGGAGGGUGCAAGCGUUGUUCGGAAUUAUUGGGCGUAAAGCGCACGUAGGCCGCUUUGUAAGUCAGGGGUGAAAUCCCACGGCUCAACCGUGGAACUGCCCUUGAAACUGCGAAGCUUGAAUCCUGGAGAGGGUGGCGGAAUUCCUGGUGUAGGAGUGAAAUCCGUAGAUAUCAGGAGGAACACCGGUGGCGAAGGCGGCCACCUGGACAGGCAUUGACGCUGAGGUGCGAAAGUGUGGGGAG